GACAGAGGCCUCAAGCGUUAGGCGGAAUCACUGGGCUUAAAGCGUGUGUAGACGGAUCGUUAAGUGUCUUGUGAAAUCCCACGGCUCACCCGUGGAACUGCUGGGCAUACUGGCGAUCUUGGGCCAACUAGGGGCAGCCGGAACAAGCGGUGGAGCGGUGAAAUGCGUAGAUAUCGCUUGGAACGCCGAAGGUGAAAACAGGCUGCUGGGGUUGCGCAGACGCUGAGACACGAAAGCCAGGGGAGCGAACGGG
Molecule: ribosomal RNA, 253 nt
Filed under: uncultured bacterium
Lineage: Bacteria
Description: partial 16S ribosomal RNA
Rfam family: Bacterial small subunit ribosomal RNA
Source: RNAcentral